RNAcentral lists this long non-coding RNA (1392 nucleotides) under Anas platyrhynchos platyrhynchos (common mallard). RNAcentral's name for it is "lncRNA (ENSAPLG00000016959.1)". The record is from RNAcentral. Lineage: Eukaryota; Metazoa; Chordata; Aves; Anseriformes; Anatidae.
GUUUGGGCCAAAAUUCCAUGUGCUAAAGGGGUUGGUGCUUUGCAGCAUGGGACUGAGAUGUAGAUAUACAUCUAUAGCCAUGGAGAAGUGCCCAGGGCAUGGCUGGCAGGGACACUGUGCUGGGCAUUUUGUGCCACCCACUCUGCUCUGCACCCAGCAUCCUGGUUGCACCCAAGCACCAAGAUCAUGAGCUCAGCGCAGAUUAAAACCCUCCGUUUUGCACUUUGCUGGGGUUUCACGCAGCUUUCUGGAAUACAAGGCGACCUGUCCAAGGACUUUGAACAUGCUUGGAUGGGGCAGAGUUAAGUUUAUCCUACAGAGCCAGCCACGCACCCAUCUUCUAGCCCUUUCCGGCCUUUUCCCCAUUCUAGAAAGGGGAUCGGAGGUGUCCCAGCCCAUGCAGGUGAGCAGGCAGGAUGGGCAGCUGCCCACAGAGCCUCCCAUGCACGCAGGGCUUGAAGGAGCAUCCCUGCACCCUGUGCAUGCACCCAUCCAGGCGUGCACACGCGUGUCAGGGCACGUGUUUGCACAUGAGAGUGUGCACCAACCCAGCACCACAACAUCCCCGCGGGGCUCCUCUAGCACCAGACAGAGCUGGCUGGGGAGCAGCGUGCCCCUCAGCACGCCCCCUGCACCCCACCCUGGAUCAGUCCUGUCUGCACCCCACUUCCCAAAGCCUUUGGACAUCGGGUUUCCAGCUCAGCUGCAUCCAAAGCGCAGGCAAGAGGACUCCACGGCCCCCCCAGUGCAUGCCCCUGGGCACAGCUGGAGGGGGUCCCAGGUCUCCAAGGGGUGCAGAUAAGAGGGUGCAGGGGACCGGGCCAUGGCAGUGCCAGGCUGGGUGUCCCCCCCAUGCUGCUCCUGGCAUCCAGCCCUGUGCGUGGGGAGGGGGAGCAGAGGGUGGAGCCUGCACACGGCCAGACCCGGGAGCUGUGACAUUCAGGCUGGCAGAGAGAAGGAGCCGUGGGUGCUGGGCAGAGCUGGGGGGACACUGGGAGCAGGUCAGGGCCACCUUCGGGGACCAAGCACCCCCUGAGGGAAAGUGGCUUGAAGGGACCUGGGUACAGGACAGGGCUGGGAAGAAGCAAGGAGAGCAGGGGCACCCCUGGGAGCUGGGGUCCCCCUGGUGCUCAGGGCCAUGCAGGAGGAUCUGGGCUGGCCCCAGCCCCUCGGGGACUGAGCUGGGACACCCACAGACACGGCACGGGGCUGGCUCCAGCCAUGGGGUGCCCGUGGCAGCUCCCUGGCUCCUGCACGCUGCUGCUCCUGCUGCUCGCGCUCCCGAUGCUUUGGGUAAGUGUCCCCAGGGAGGACGGGGAUGGGGAGGUCAGGGGGGCAGUGAGAGUGGCGGGCCCCUGCCUGUGAUGACCACCUCGGGGCCCACCAGCCCUG